Molecule: long non-coding RNA, 1983 nt
Organism: Papio anubis (olive baboon)
Lineage: Eukaryota; Metazoa; Chordata; Mammalia; Primates; Cercopithecidae
Source: Ensembl
UUACCAUUGCCUUUUACUUCUAUCUCACUUCUCUGGUUCUCUUAUGGCAGAAGGUUACAUGGACAGCACAGCAUAAUCAUCCGCUUGGACACAUCCUUUGCUUCUCUGUCCCUCCAUUAUUACCCCUGGAAAGAUGGCCUGGUUAAACCCAGUUUUCUUCUUCUUCUGUUUGUAGCCAAGAAGCUAAAUAUUACUGGAGAAAAUUAUGUUAACUUCAAAUUUAUGACCUCAGAUCGCAAAUGGGCACUCAAUCCCUUCAGAUAUUCCUGCUACUCUUCCCCAAUAAACUUAUUUUUCUAUUCUCCCAAACAACUGUGUUACUUCUUUUCUUAAGCCUCCAACAGCCUCUCACCUCUCAAUCUCAACUAUGACCUCAGUUUCAACUUCAUAGAGAAAAAUGAUUUUAUUAGAUGAGAAUGACCUUAUCUUUCUACCUUCUGGUCUAUGUCUUAGUUGAUUUUGUGCUGCUAUGAUAGAAUACUUAAACCUGGGUAAUAUUUUUAAAGAACAGAAAUUUAUUUCCUCUAGUUCUGGAGACUGAGAAGUCCAAGAUCAAGAUGUCAGCAGGUUUGGUGUCUGGUGAGGGUCCAGUCUCUGCUUCCAAUAUAGCGCCUUAAAUGCUGCAUUCAUUAGAGGGAAGGAACCCUGGAUCCUCACAUAGCAGAUGUCAGAAGGGCAAAAAUGGGUGAGACUCCCUCCAUCAAGUCUGUUUAGAAGAGCACCUAAUCCCUUUCAUGAGGGAGGAGCCCUCAUGACUUAAUCACCUCCUAGAGGCCACACCUCCCAAUGCCGUUGCAUUGGGGAUUAAGUUUCUACAUGAAUUUCUGGGGACAUUUUCAGACCAUGGCAGUCUGCUACUCUGCCUGGAUUUGUACCCCAUUGUUACAGUGGAAGACUUGUGUUAUCUUCUAAGCCUUGCAUUCUAUCCUGGAUCCUAUCUGCCUUUUGCUGAAGGAUUUCCCUGCUGUAAGUGUCUUCUUUCUCUCCUACAUGAAAACUUUUUCCUUUCAACUAGGCUAUUCUCAUACGUACAUACCUUAAUCUUCUAUCUUAAAUAAAACCCUCUUAAGCUGGCAUUGCCUUCCAGCUAUCUACCUCCUCCCAUCAUUUCUCUGUUCCCAGUCACAACAAGACUUAUGGAAAUAUUUGAACACAAACAAACCUUUCAAAUUCCUUGCCUCCUGUUUUCACCUCAGUCACUCCAUUCACACUUUCAUUCUCAUCAAUCCACACCAAGAAGGCUUUUACUAAGACCUACAUCUUCCCCAAACUGACAGAGGGUCAAUUUUCUGUCCUCCUUUGAUGUCUUAGUGGCAUUUGAUCCAAUUGACUGCUCCCUCCUUCUUUGAAACUCUGCUUCAUCUGAUUCUGAAAUAACACACUCUUCUUGUUUUGUUUUUUUUUUCUUUUUUUUUCCCCACCUCGUUGCCCCAUUUCUUAGUCUACUUUGCUGGCUGCUGCUUCUGUUUCAGAUCUCUAAAUGUUAGAACACCCAAAGCUCUUUCCUUGGCCCUCUUUUCUAUCCAGAUUCUAUUGUUGUAUAAUGAAAUGUAUGUGUUGAUGACUCUUAGGUUUUAAUCAGCCAGUUGGUUCUUUACUCUGGGUUUUAGACUCAUAUAUUCAACCACCAACUCAACAUCUUCACUUGCUUGUCUAUUAGACAUCCUAAACUUUGUAUGUCCAAAGAGAGCUAGUGUUUACUAUACCCUCCCAUUCUAGCCCCAACUGUCCCCUCUAAGUCAUCCCCAUAGUAGCAUAUCUCAACACCAUUCCUGUAGUUUAUGGUGCCAGAAACUUAGUUCCAACUCUUCUAUUUUCUUCACACUUCAAUCCAUGUCAGAAGGGCAAAAAGAGGUAAGACUCCCUCCAUCAAGUACGUUGGUAAAGCCAAGACCCACUGUUUGGCGUUACCUCAAAUCCACAUAUUAAAUCUGUCCACUUUCUUCACUACUUUCACUUUAGUCCAAUUUACCUUCAUUUCUG